Molecule: unclassified non-coding RNA, 347 nt
Filed under: soil metagenome
Description: partial contains 5.8S ribosomal RNA, internal transcribed spacer 2, and large subunit ribosomal RNA
Rfam family: 5.8S ribosomal RNA (bases 1-120)
Source: RNAcentral
GAUGAAGAACGCAGCGAAAUGCGAUAAGUAAUGUGAAUUGCAGAAUUCAGUGAAUCAUCGAAUCUUUGAACGCACAUUGCGCCCGCCAGUAUUCUGGCGGGCAUGCCUGUCUGAGCGUCAUUUCAACCCUCAUGCCCCUAGGGCGUGGUGUUGGGGAUCGGCCAAAGCCCGCGAGGGACGGCCGGCCCCUAAAUCUAGUGGCGGACCCGUCGUGGCCUCCUCUGCGAAGUAGUGAUAUUCCGCAUCGGAGAGCGAUGAGCCCCUGCCGUUAAACCCCCAACUUUCCAAGGUUGACCUCAGAUCAGGUAGGAAUACCCGCUGAACUUAAGCAUACAAUAAGCGGAGGA